Centrocercus urophasianus (Greater sage-grouse) is the source of this 884-nucleotide long non-coding RNA. RefSeq lists it as uncharacterized. NCBI's taxonomy places the organism in Eukaryota, Metazoa, Chordata, Aves, Galliformes, Phasianidae. The record is from RefSeq and is a predicted model, not a curated record. The transcript has 4 exons.
UUGGCAGAGAAUGUCUGCCACAUCGUGCAUUCAGAGCUGGUACUGGCUUGUACAGUCUGGUAUGGAAGUUAUUCAUCUUGAGCAUAGUAGCCUUUUCAAACCAAGAGGCAGCAUGGAGGUAUGAAUUUUAAGACAAAUUGAAGAACUCAAGAAGAUAAGUGAAGGGAAAGAGUGCUAGGACCAGUUCAGCCAGAAAAUUACCAUGAAAUUGUCAUUCACUUGUUCAAAAGCUGUGUGCUGUGAGGUGUGUAUCCAUUUCUGGAUCAAAUGUGCAAAUUUCUAAAACAAAUGUAACCUUUUUUUUCCCCACAGAUUUUACGUUUUUGCUUAUGCAUGGAUCAGAAGGAAAAAAAAAGAGUGAAUGAAUAUGAAAUCAGAUGUACAGAGCUCCUCUCCAGCAGAACUUUAGCAUGUGUUCUGAACAAAUCUCCAGGAGUUCUAUGGAGGUAUUUGUGGCUCAUGAUGCUAACAGGGCGAUGUGCACAAGCAUCCUGAAAACUGUGGAUUGGUGAGGGCCAACACUGCUGCAUCCAGCAAAAGAAGCAAGGAUAGAAGGAAAGAAAGGGAGAAUCUAAAGCAUGCUAAGCAAGAAGUUGUUCCCAGAUGUCUCUACUGUGAAGAGUGAACAUUGUGCCAGGGAGAUUCUUCCUGUUUUAGAAGGAAUAGAGGCAACAGCUUUGAAAGCAGAAGACAGAACCACGUUGUGAAAUGGCUGUGAUGGACUGACGUCUGAAAGUUAUAGGGAAGCUUCACCUCUUGUAUUACAUUCACACAACAGGAUGAAGAAAACCAGCUAAUUUUGAAGAGCCUUGGCAAAAUAAAUAAAUUUAAAAAGAAGUGGAACUCUGUUCAUCUCUCGUAUGCUGAUUGCUCCCUCACGUGAC